Molecule: unclassified non-coding RNA, 393 nt
Filed under: soil metagenome
Description: partial contains 5.8S ribosomal RNA, internal transcribed spacer 2, and large subunit ribosomal RNA
Rfam family: 5.8S ribosomal RNA (bases 1-122)
Source: RNAcentral
GAUGAAGAACGUAGCGAAAUGCGAUACUUGGUGUGAAUUGCAGAAUCCCGUGAACCAUCGAGUCUUUGAACGCAAGUUGCGCCCGAAGCCAUCAGGUUGAGGGCACGUCUGCCUGGGCGUCACAUAUCGUUGCUCGAUGCCUAUCGCAUUGCGAUAGGACUUAGGGCGAAUGAUGGCUUCCCGUGAGCGUUGUUGCCUCGCGGUUGGUUGAAAAUCGAGUCCUUGGUAGGGUGUGCCAUGAUAGAUGGUGGUCGAGUUAGCACGAGACCGAUCAUGGGUAACUCCACCAGAAUUGGGCUCGGUGACCCACAUGCGUCCCUUGGAUGCUCCCUAAGGAGACCUCAGGUCAGGCGGGGCUACCCGCUGAGUUUAAGCAUAUCAAUAAGCGGAGGA